GCCCUGUUGCAUAAAAAUUUAUGUCAUAAUGACAUAAAUUUCGAUCAUGACAUAAAAUCAUGCAUAGCUUAUGCCGUUGACAUAAAUUUCGUUGCAUAAAAAUAUUUAUGUAUUGUUUUAGCUUAUGACGCGAUUUAAUCAUCAUUACAUAAACUGAAUAGUCAUGAACGAGCCUGUUGACAUAAACUUGGCAUAAGUUGUCAUUUUUCAGCCGCAGGAAGCUCUUGCGAAAAAGGGUCUUCGGCUUUCUAUUUGGUCGGGAUAGAGGCCUAUUUUGGUGACCCACACAAACGGUGAGAAGAGGUAAAGAGAGAAAGGGGCACAGCAACUGAAAGAGAGGGAAGUCCAGACACUCUUCCACGGUCUGCCAUUGAACAAGAAGUCUCUCUUUGGAUCAGGGGUUCAAGCUUCUAGUAUGAAGAUUGUUCAAGAGUCAAGACUGUUGAAGAGGUGACGUCAUGGACCUGAUAGCACCUGGCAAGGGAACUAUAUUACUGUUCAUAAAUCUAUUACUCAAGUAUCCUAAAAACGCUUUAAAAAUUUGAACAUUAACAAAAGUUCUAUUUUACAAAGAUAAUAAUCAUUAUAUUGACAUUGUGAAUAUAUUUUAUGAUUAUCAUAAAAUUAUUAUAAUGUAAAUGAUGAUAGGUCAUACUAAUACAAAUAAACAAUAAGUAGAAAAGAAGACAACCAAGAAGGAGGAGGAGAAGAAGAAAAAGAAGAGGGGUGGAAGAGGAGAAAAGGAGAAGAAGAAUAAAUAACAACACUGAGUUCCUCUUCAUGAUAUUACAGAAAUCUUCAUCUUUAAGUGGAAAUAUUUAUGAAUAGUAUAGUAUAUAAUGUAUGAAAAAAACAUUUUAUCUAAAUCCAAGUUCCACUUUAAUCAUGUUUAUAAAGUCAUAGGACAGGUGACAAGAUAACAUUGUUUCACAAAUUUUAGUGUGUAUUUAUUUUAAAAGUAAUAAAUUUACAUGAAAUGUCAUUCUUUUUGCUUCAUCUCUUUGUUUA
Molecule: long non-coding RNA, 1008 nt
Filed under: Lytechinus variegatus (green sea urchin)
Lineage: Eukaryota; Metazoa; Echinodermata; Echinoidea; Temnopleuroida; Toxopneustidae
Description: uncharacterized LOC121420720
Source: RNAcentral